AUGGACGUAGCGCAGGAAGCGCAAAGUACAGAACAGGGACACGAAGGAUUCCUGCCAGGGUGGCGGGGCGAAAUGGAUGUCAGGGAAACAGUCUGCAAAGCCCCGCUUCGGCGGGGUUUU
Pseudomonas sp. is the source of this 120-nucleotide non-coding RNA. NCBI's taxonomy places the organism in Bacteria, Pseudomonadati, Pseudomonadota, Gammaproteobacteria, Pseudomonadales, Pseudomonadaceae. The record is from Rfam.